RNAcentral lists this ribosomal RNA (497 nucleotides) under uncultured bacterium. RNAcentral's name for it is "partial 16S ribosomal RNA". It matches the Rfam family "Bacterial small subunit ribosomal RNA", at positions 28 to 507 of the family's 1533-position model. The record is from RNAcentral.
GAUGAACGCUGGCGGCGUGCCUAAUACAUGCAAGUCGAGCGAACAGACGAGGAGCUUGCUCCUCUGACGUUAGCGGCGGACGGGUGAGUAACACGUGGAUAACCUACCUAUAAGACUGGGAUAACUUCGGGAAACCGGAGCUAAUACCGGAUAAUAUAUUGAACCGCAUGGUUCAAUAGUGAAAGACGGUUUUGCUGUCACUUAUAGAUGGAUCCGCGCCGCAUUAGCUAGUUGGUGAGGUAACGGCUUACCAAGGCAACGAUGCGUAGCCGACCUGAGAGGGUGAUCAGCCACACUGGAACUGAGACACGGUCCAGACUCCUACGGGAGGCAGCAGUAGGGAAUCUUCCGCAAAGGGCGAAAGCCUGACGGAGCAACGCCGCGUGAGUGAUGAAGGUCUUCGGGUCGUAAAACUCUGUUAUUAGGGAAGAACAAAUGUGUAAGUAACUAUGCACGUCUUGACGGUACCUAAUCAGAAAGCCACGGCUAACUACGUG